CUCACAAGAGGGAUGUAAAUUUUGGAGCUUCCAACUAUUCUGCCCCUGUUUCUACCAGCCUUCUCCCUGAAUAUUCAGAGGGGCUUGGCAGGCCAUGGUUAAAGCAAAAUAGCAAGAUAAAACACAAAUGUUAUAAGGUUUAAGGUGGAGCUAGUGGAAACAAUGAAACGAUGUAACAUAGAAAACAAAAUGCAGAAAGAGUCCCUUGGAAACACAAGAAAGGUAGGAAAAAUCAGUAGCCACAGCACUGAUUUGUAAUUGAAUUCUUCCAAUCAAAUAUCCUAAUCUUUCUAAUCUUAAAUGUGACUUGAAAUAGACACAGGGUUCUUCUUUUCGGUUACUAUAGGAAAACGACUGGCAGCUGAUACUCUUACUGACUUCCAUGCUGUUUGGUAGUAAUUGGACAUGGAGUAAAAUGAGGUUUUUUUAAUUUCAAAUUUUAAACCACAAAAUAGUUAAAUUAUAAGCUAUGGAAGUUUUUAAAUAAAGAGCUGUCACCACAUUUCAUGUUUUACUUGGGGUCCCAGGACACAGAAUGAGUAAGUUCCUCCUAGACGUGGGGAGAGUCAUUCUAAUGUUUAUCUUUUCUGUGCAAUCUCUCUUGCAAAAGGAAAAGAUGUAAUGCUGAGGAUUCUGAGUCAUGAAUGGACUCUAAUGAUAUGGCCUGUAAAGCAUUGCUUGUAAGAGUCAUCAAUGUCAACUGGACUGACAAUAGCUUUUUGAUGACUUAUUUAUGCAGAAGGAUGAUAAAUAUGGGGAGAACAGCAACAAAAAGCCCAGGUUAAGAAAUAGUUGGGCUGAGGAUUUAGCUCAGUGGUUCCGCCGCCUGCAGAAGGACCCCAGUUCAAUCCCCGGUACCAAAAAAAAAAAAUAGCAGGCCGGAGAUUUAGCUCAGUGGCACCGCGCCUGCCUUGCAAGUACGAGGUCCUUAGUUCAAUACCCAGUACCAAAAGAAAACAAAUCAAAAACGAAAUGCCAUUGCUUGUGGCAUAUAUAAACUGCCAAGUCUCUAGAGUCACCACCAGGGAAGUCACAGCGACUUAACCAGAAUAUAGAAGUGCAUUCAUUUAUACACACACACCAGAAAGCCAGCCUGCCUUAUGGGCCCUGCUCUAUUUUUUACUUCCUAACCAGGGAUUGUCCUCAGAUACAGCUUUGGGUAAAAGGAGCAUUAUUAACAAAGGGUGUUGAUAUCUGUAAUGAACAAUAAUAAUGAUCAGUUUAAAAGUCAGCCAGACUGCAGGAGGCCUUGACCUCCUGGAGGUUGAUAGCACUAAGG
Molecule: long non-coding RNA, 1279 nt
Filed under: Heterocephalus glaber (naked mole-rat)
Lineage: Eukaryota; Metazoa; Chordata; Mammalia; Rodentia; Bathyergidae
Description: lncRNA (ENSHGLG00100044624.1)
Source: RNAcentral